Non-coding RNA from Camelina sativa (false flax), 135 nucleotides. The record is from RefSeq and is a predicted model, not a curated record. Lineage: Eukaryota; Viridiplantae; Streptophyta; Magnoliopsida; Brassicales; Brassicaceae.
GAAAUUGAUCUGCUUAUUGUCAUUCUGCCCGACAAUAACGGAUCAUUAUAUGGUGAUUUGAAACGCAUAUGUGAGACCGAACUGGGCAUUGUCUCUCAAUGCUGUCUGACGAAACAUGUCUUUAAGAUGAGCAAA